RNAcentral lists this ribosomal RNA (253 nucleotides) under uncultured bacterium. RNAcentral describes it as "partial 16S ribosomal RNA". It matches the Rfam family "Bacterial small subunit ribosomal RNA", at positions 524 to 776 of the family's 1533-position model. The record is from RNAcentral.
GACGGAGGGUGCAAGCGUUGUUCGGAUUGACUGGGCGUAAAGGGCGUGUAGGCGGUCGGUCAAGUCUGGUGUGAAAGCCCGGGGCUCAGCUCCGGAAGUGCAUCGGAAACUAGCUGGCUGGAGCGCGAUAGAGGAGGGCGGAAUUCCUGGUGUAGCGGUGAAAUGCGUAGAUAUCAGGAAGAACACCCGUGGCGAAGGCGGCUCUCUGGGACGGUACUGACGCUGAGACACGAAAGCGUGGGGAGCGAACAGG